UUCUCCCAAAUUUGGAAGGCCCGUAUUCCCCCUAAGAUUAAAAUUUUCUUGUGGCAAGCUUUCCGAGGCCGGUUGCCCUCGGCUGGUCAAAUUCGUAAGAGAAAUGGACCGGGCUCCCAGUUUUGUGCCCUUUGCGGUGAUGUGGAAGACAUGGAACAUAUUUUUUUUCACUGUCACCUGGCUAAGCUCAUUUGGAGUUGCGUGCGGGACUGGCUACGUGUUUCUUGGGCCCCUGCCUCCUUUGCCGAGUUGCGCAACUUGGCAUCCAACCUUUCCGGUGUAUCCAGGCGCAUCUUUUGGGUGGGCUUGGGAGCUUUAUGCUGGUCCCUGUGGACGACUAGGAACAAAUUUACUAUCGAGCACGUGUUCCCGGCUAAACCGGCUGACUGCUUAUUUAAAUCGUGUGCUUUCCUGCAGCAGUGGAAAUCAUUGACUAAGGUCGACGACCAAGAGGCGCUCUCUAUGCUGAUCUACAAAAUCCGGGCGACGGCGUCUCAGUUAUGCAGACAAGAGCAGGAUGCUUAA
Molecule: ribosomal RNA, 525 nt
Filed under: Triticum aestivum (bread wheat)
Lineage: Eukaryota; Viridiplantae; Streptophyta; Magnoliopsida; Poales; Poaceae
Description: partial small subunit ribosomal RNA
Source: RNAcentral